RNAcentral lists this ribosomal RNA (605 nucleotides) under uncultured Bacillota bacterium. RNAcentral describes it as "bacterial SSU rRNA". It matches the Rfam family "Bacterial small subunit ribosomal RNA", at positions 9 to 596 of the family's 1533-position model. The record is from RNAcentral. Lineage: Bacteria; Bacillati; Bacillota.
GAGUUUGAUCCUGGCUCAGGACGAACGCUGGCGGCGUGCCUAAUACAUGCAAGUCGAGCGGACUUUUGAGAGCUUGCUCUCAAAAGUUAGCGGCGGACGGGUGAGUAACACGUGGGCAACCUGGCCUUAAGAUUGGGAUAACUUCGGGAAACCGAUGCUAAAACCGAAUAGGAAAAGGAGAAGCAUUUCUCCUUUUGGAAAGGUGGCGAAAGCUAUCACUUAAGGAUGGGCCCGCGGUGCAUUAGCUAGUUGGUGAGGUAACGGCUCACCAAGGCGACGAUGCAUAGCCGACCUGAGAGGGUGAACGGCCACACUGGGACUGAGACACGGCCCAGACUCCUACGGGAGGCAGCAGUAGGGAAUCUUCCGCAAUGGACGGAAGUCUGACGGAGCAACGCCGCGUGAGUGAAGAAGGUUUUCGGAUCGUAAAGCUCUGUUGUUGGGGAAGAAGAAUCGAUAAUCGAAUAGGUUAUCGAAGUGACGGUACCUAACCAGAAAGCCACGGCUAACUACGUGCCAGCAGCCGCGGUAAUACGUAGGUGGCAAGCGUUGUCCGGAAUUAUUGGGCGUAAAGUGCGCGCAGGCGGUUAAUUAAGUCUGAUGUG